UGCGUAGGUGGUCUCUUAAGUCAGGAGUGAAAGGCUACGGCUCAACCGUAGUAAGCUCUUGAAACUGGGAAACUUGAGUGCAGGAGAGGAAAGUGGAAUUCCUAGUGUAGCGGUGAAAUGCGUAGAUAUUAGGAGGAACACCAGUAGCGAAGGCGGCUUUCUGGACUGUAACUGACACUGGGGCACGAAAGCGUGGGGAGCAAACA
This 206-nucleotide ribosomal RNA is filed under the name uncultured bacterium. Its description in RNAcentral is "partial 16S ribosomal RNA". It matches the Rfam family "Bacterial small subunit ribosomal RNA", at positions 568 to 774 of the family's 1533-position model. The record is from RNAcentral.